This 594-nucleotide long non-coding RNA is filed under the name Ananas comosus (pineapple). RNAcentral's name for it is "long non-coding RNA (ACOM_LNC015314)". Lineage: Eukaryota; Viridiplantae; Streptophyta; Magnoliopsida; Poales; Bromeliaceae. The record is from RNAcentral.
UGAGAGAGAGAAAUAUGAGCAUGGUGGUGGGAGAUUAGAUGAUAAUGUUGCAUGGAAAAUAACAGGCCAUGCAAAAGAGAGAGGGCGGGGAGAUUAAUGGAGGAGGGGAAUGAAUUGGAGUUAUAAAACCCACUCAUUAGUGGGGGACAGGAUUAAUGGAGAAGGGGAGUGGACUGGAGUUAUAAAGCCCACUUAUUAGUGAAAUAUAGUGUGGGCGUGUUUGGUUAGCUUCUUUUUUACCAUGAAAUUGGAAUCGGAAUCGGAAUGGGCGAAUUUGUUUGUAGGUGUUUGGUACAUAGGAGUUCCAUUCCGAUUCCAAUUCCUGAGUGGAAUGGGAAUCCCCCAAUCACCCCUUUUCCAAUCCGGCCUAGGAGGCCGGAUGGGAAGUUGGAUCCAUACGGAAUAGACAUUUAUUAGGAUUAAAUUUAUUUUUUCAACUUUUUUAAUUAAAAUAUGAGUUUAAAUUUAGAAAUCAAAUAUAUAAUUUUAAAUUUUAAUUUGAAUUUGAAUUAAAAAUUAAAAUUUCAUCAAGUAUUUCGAAUCUAACUUAUGAAUUUGAAUUUAAAUUAAAUUUUAAUUUAUAUAAAGUUUUAU